GGCGUCGAGCGGCGGACGGGUGAGUAAUGCCUAGGAAAUUGCCCUGAUGUGGGGGAUAACCAUUGGAAACGAUGGCUAAUACCGCAUGAUGCCUACGGGCCAAAGAGGGGGACCUUCGGGCCUCUCGCGUCAGGAUAUGCCUAGGUGGGAUUAGCUAGUUGGUGAGGUAAGGGCUCACCAAGGCGACGAUCCCUAGCUGGUCUGAGAGGAUGAUCAGCCACACUGGAACUGAGACACGGUCCAGACUCCUACGGGAGGCAGCAGUGGGGAAUAUUGCACAAUGGGCGCAAGCCUGAUGCAGCCAUGCCGCGUGUGUGAAGAAGGCCUUCGGGUUGUAAAGCACUUUCAGUCGUGAGGAAGGUAGUGUAGUUAAUAGCUGCAUUAUUUGACGUUAGCGACAGAAGAAGCACCGGCUAACUCCGUGCCAGCAGCCGCGGUAAUACGGAGGGUGCGAGCGUUAAUCGGAAUUACUGGGCGUAAAGCGCAUGCAGGUGGUUUGUUAAGUCAGAUGUGAAAGCCCGGGGCUCAACCUCGGAAUUGCAUUUGAAACUGGCAGACUAGAGUACUGUAGAGGGGGGUAGAAUUUCAGGUGUAGCGGUGAAAUGCGUAGAGAUCUGAAGGAAUACCGGUGGCGAAGGCGGCCCCCUGGACAGAUACUGACACUCAGAUGCGAAAGCGUGGGGAGCAAACAGGAUUAGAUACCCUGGUAGUCCACGCCGUAAACGAUGUCUACUUGGAGGUUGUGGCCUUGAGCCGUGGCUUUCGGAGCUAACGCGUUAAGUAGACCGCCUGGGGAGUACGGUCGCAAGAUUAAAACUCAAAUGAAUUGACGGGGGCCCGCACAAGCGGUGGAGCAUGUGGUUUAAUUCGAUGCAACGCGAAGAACCUUACCUACUCUUGACAUCCAGAGAACUUUCCAGAGAUGGAUUGGUGCCUUCGGGAACUCUGAGACAGGUGCUGCAUGGCUGUCGUCAGCUCGUGUUGUGAAAUGUUGGGUUAAGUCCCGCAACGAGCGCAACCCUUAUCCUUGUUUGCCAGCGAGUAAUGUCGGGAACUCCAGGGAGACUGCCGGUGAUAAACCGGAGGAAGGUGGGGACGACGUCAAGUCAUCAUGGCCCUUACGAGUAGGGCUACACACGUGCUACAAUGGCGCAUACAGAGGGCGGCCAACUUGCGAAAGUGAGCGAAUCCCAAAAAGUGCGUCGUAGUCCGGAUUGGAGUCUGCAACUCGACUCCAUGAAGUCGGAAUCGCUAGUAAUCGUGGAUCAGAAUGCCACGGUGAAUACGUUCCCGGGCCUUGUACACACCGCCCGUCACACCAUGGGAGUGGGCUGCAAAAGAAGUAGGUAGUUUAACCUUCGGGGGGACGCUUACCACUUUGUGGUUCAUGACUGGGGUGAAGUCGUAACAAGGUAGCGCUAGGGGAACCUGGCGCUGGAUCACCUCCUUA
Molecule: ribosomal RNA, 1450 nt
Filed under: Vibrio parahaemolyticus
Lineage: Bacteria; Pseudomonadati; Pseudomonadota; Gammaproteobacteria; Vibrionales; Vibrionaceae
Description: bacterial SSU rRNA
Rfam family: Bacterial small subunit ribosomal RNA
Source: RNAcentral